AGUGAACGCUGGCGGUAGGCCUAACACAUGCAAGUCGAACGGCAGCACAGUAAGAGCUUGCUCUUACGGGUGGCGAGUGGCGGACGGGUGAGGAAUACAUCGGAAUCUACUUUUUCGUGGGGGAUAACGUAGGGAAACUUACGCUAAUACCGCAUACGACCUACGGGUGAAAGCAGGGGAUCUUCGGACCUUGCGCGAUUGAAUGAGCCGAUGUCGGAUUAGCUAGUUGGCGGGGUAAAGGCCCACCAAGGCGACGAUCCGUAGCUGGUCUGAGAGGAUGAUCAGCCACAUGGGAACUGAGACACGGCCCAAAACCCUACGGGAGGCAGCAGUGGGGAAUAUUGGACAAGGGGCGCAAGCCUGACCCAGCCAUCCCGGGUGGGUGAAGAAGGCCUUCGGGUUGUAAAGCCCUUUUGUUGGGAAAAAAAAGCAGCAGGUUAAUCCCCCGCUUUUCUGAAGGCACCCAAAAAAAAAGCACCGGCAAACUUCUU
RNAcentral lists this ribosomal RNA (491 nucleotides) under uncultured bacterium. RNAcentral's name for it is "partial 16S ribosomal RNA". It matches the Rfam family "Bacterial small subunit ribosomal RNA", at positions 29 to 506 of the family's 1533-position model. The record is from RNAcentral.